RNAcentral lists this ribosomal RNA (208 nucleotides) under uncultured bacterium. RNAcentral describes it as "partial 16S ribosomal RNA". It matches the Rfam family "Bacterial small subunit ribosomal RNA", at positions 568 to 774 of the family's 1533-position model. The record is from RNAcentral.
CUCGUAGGUGGCCGACUAAGUCGGACGUGAAAUCCCUCGGCUUAACCGGGGAACUGCGUCCGAUACUGGAUGGCUUGAGUUUGGGAGAGGGACGCGGAAUUCCAGGUGUAGCGGUGAAAUGCGUAGAUAUCUGGAGGAACACCGGUGGCGAAGGCGGCGUCCUGGACCAAUACUGACACUGAUGAGCGAAAGCCAGGGGGGGCAAACG